RNAcentral lists this transfer RNA (65 nucleotides) under Hucho hucho (huchen). It matches the Rfam family "tRNA", at positions 6 to 65 of the family's 71-position model. Rfam says of the family: Transfer RNA (tRNA) molecules are approximately 80 nucleotides in length. The record is from Rfam by way of RNAcentral. Lineage: Eukaryota; Metazoa; Chordata; Actinopteri; Salmoniformes; Salmonidae.
UGUAGCUCAGUUGGUAGAGCAUGGCACUUUUAAUGCCAGGAUAGUGGGUUCGAUUCCCGGGACCA